UACGUAGGGGGCUAGCGUUGUCCGGAAUCAUUGGGCGUAAAGCGCGCGUAGGCGGCCCGGUAAGUCCGCUCUGAAAGUCCGGGGCUCAACCCUGGAAUGCGGGUGGAUACUGCCGGGCUAGAAUCCGGAAGAGGCGAGUGGAAUUCCUGGUGUAGCGGUGGAAUGCGCAGAUAUCAGGAGGAACACCAAUAGCGAAGGCAGCUCGCUGGGACGGUAUUGACGCUAAGGCGCGAAAGCGUGGGGAGCAAACAGG
RNAcentral lists this ribosomal RNA (253 nucleotides) under uncultured bacterium. RNAcentral describes it as "partial 16S ribosomal RNA". It matches the Rfam family "Bacterial small subunit ribosomal RNA", at positions 524 to 776 of the family's 1533-position model. The record is from RNAcentral.